Molecule: ribosomal RNA, 253 nt
Filed under: uncultured bacterium
Lineage: Bacteria
Description: partial 16S ribosomal RNA
Rfam family: Bacterial small subunit ribosomal RNA
Source: RNAcentral
UACGAAGGUCCCAAGCGUUAUCCGGAUUUAUUGGGUUUAAAGGGUGCGUAGGCGGGCUAUUAAGUCAGUGGUGAAAGCCCCAAGCUCAACUCCAGAACUGCCUUUGAUACUGAGGAUCUUGAGUACGGGAGAGGUGAGUGGAACUGCGAGUGUAGAGGUGAAAUUCGUAGAUAUUCGCAAGAACACCAGUGGCGAAGGCGGCUCACUGGCCCGGUACUGACGCUGAGGUGCGAAAGCGUGGGGAGCAAACAGG